Ribosomal RNA from Myotis lucifugus (little brown bat), 118 nucleotides. NCBI's taxonomy places the organism in Eukaryota, Metazoa, Chordata, Mammalia, Chiroptera, Vespertilionidae. The record is from Ensembl.
GUCUACGGCCAUACCACCCUGAACGCGCCCGAUCUCGUCUGAUCUCGGAAGCUAAGCAGGGUCGGGCCUGGUUAGUACUUGGAUGGGAGUUACUGAGAGAGGAAGAAAGGAAAAGAUC